Cercocebus atys (sooty mangabey) is the source of this 119-nucleotide ribosomal RNA. The record is from Ensembl. Lineage: Eukaryota; Metazoa; Chordata; Mammalia; Primates; Cercopithecidae.
AUCUAUGGCCACACCACCUUGAACGCGCGAGAUCUCCUCUGAUCACGGAAGCUAAGCAGGGUAGGACCUUGUUAGUAUUUGGAUGGGAUACCACCUGGGAAUACAGGGUGCCAUAGACU